UCUGCCAGGAUUUGUCACCAGGUUGGAUGCACUGGGCUCAUUCUUUUCCACUCUCACAUCUGAAGAUCUCAGUGGGAUUGCCCAGACUGUCUGAGGUGGGAAUUUGCUCAGUGAGGACUCUGGGAGUGCCAGCUUGAGACAGGUGAAUCACGGACAAACACUGUGGAUAGGGGAUGUAUGGGAUAAUUUCCUUGUUCCCCUGACAUCUGGCUGCCAGAGAAGGGGAGAUCUGUGAACAAACAACUCCUGCCAUCAUCUGUCCAAAGCAAGAAUCUGCCAACAGGAAAAGGUCACGUGGAGAAAGCACACCUUUUAAUAGAGAAGGUGAUUGCAUUGCCAGAAGGUUGAGGGAAGUGACCCUGCCCCUCUACUCACAAUUUCUGGGGGUCUGGAUCUGGAGAGUCUUCAGUACAAGACAACUACACAGAAUUUGGGAUAAAACCUGGAUAUUUUAGACUUUUAUAAAUAAUACGCAUUGGGAGCUCCCUGGAAAAAUCCCAAUGUUGUCUGUUGGAUCAUUGUGAAGGAAAAGGAAUUUGGCAGAAGGACCAAGUCAGCUGUCAGCAGCUUGUCCCUCAGCUCUGCUGUUAAUUGUGGUGCCUCGCUGUAGUUUGUUUGCAAUAAUUCCAGCUGUACUGCCAGGGCAGCCUUUAAAUGGAAUUGCUGCUGUUGUCACAACUGUUAUUGUUCAAGAACUGCAUUUUUCAAUUAGGGGGAAUAUAUGAGAUACGUUAUCUGUAACGAUCUCUUUUAAUGAUAACAACAGAUACAAUAAUUAGUCCAGUGUAUGAAAUUAAAGAUAUUUAAAUAAUUAUAGUGUAAUCAAGUCAAAAUUACUGAUGUCUUUAUUUGAGGCUAGAUUAUGUGGAAAACACCACAGGAAAAUAAGUGCUUUGUAAUCUAAAAGGCACCAGUAUUUGAUAACACAUUUGCAUAUGUAGCAUCAAGUAAGUUUGGUUUAUGCCUUCCAAAGAUUUAAAAUAUAAAUAACAGUCAUUUGGCCAGGUUUCAGAGGCUUGGGUAUGACAGCAACUCCUUUGUGGUUCAGUUUGCUGGCACAUGUCUUCUUGUUAUGGUGGAUUUGCAGCAUAAAGGUGAAUUUAAUGGUGCUCAACAGGGUGGCUCAGAAACAUCUGCAUUCUAAAUGCCUGUUUAUUGGACAUUUUUUGAAAAUUGUCAUUUUUUUUCCAUUUCCUUCUCCCAUUUCUUAUCUGAUAUUGAACAUAUCUUUAAUCAAAGAUAAAUAAACAAAAAGACCGGGGAGCCCAGGCACAUCAGUUCAAGGGAAAAACAUUAGUUUUUGUAUUAUGAGGGGAAAAAACCCAACCAAGCAAACAAAACCAAACCAAAUCAAUCAUAAGCAAAAUUUUAAAAAAAACCACACAUGAACCCAAAAUUCACAGCUACCCACUCACUCCAUCUUCUUUUCAGACUGUGAAGAAAACAAGCUCUUGUGUAAUCCUUUACCUUUAACAGCAGGGGCUGACUCACCGAGCCAGAAGAGGGCACAGUUCAGAGCUCUGGCAGAAUUACAGCUGGUAGGUUCCAGGCACUGCCUGUGUCAAGGGAGAGCUGGAAAUAGCUGUUUGUUUAUGUGUGUGAAAAGCAUGGUAAGGAAGUAUUUUUAUCAUUUGCCUUUGCUUCAGGAGCUUAUAAAGGCUAUGCAAAUACUUUAUUUUCUCUUGGGAUGCAAUUCCCCAAAGAAAUGUGAAAUAUUGGUGGCAAAACCUCAGUUUUGGAGCUGGGCUCUGAAUUUUGGAGAAGGUGCUGAUACCUUUGGUUGGAAAGUUGAAGACCAAGCCUGUGCUGGUGGUGCACAUGAGGGGCUGCAUUUAAAGAUGCAUUUAAAAUUAACACUUCUUUCCAACUUGCCCAUACAAACAGCAACACUUGACCCUCCAGAAGGUAACAGGCAUCUCGUGAUUUAUUGUAGGCUAAAGUUCAUUAUUUCACCUGACAGAAAAACAUUGGGAAGUGCAAAGGGACCGAUUCAGAGGGAACUGACUCCAUUAACUGCAAUUUUUCAUCCCCUUUUCCACGUCAGCAGCGAAUUUACCUUUUCCCUGGGUUUGACAUCAAGUAUCUUUAGUCUCCUGAAGGUCACAAGUGUUUCUCCAGCCCCACGGGUGCAAUAACCAAGAAGAAGAAUAAUCCAUGCAGGAUUUUCUUUCGAUUACAUGGGUGACACUGGGAAAACAGGAGACUUCUUUACUUCCAAUGUGGUUGAUUUAAUGUGCAAUUUAUUUUAUAGUUAGUUAUUACUAAAAAAUAAUUGCAGAACAGAAUAAAUACUAGUUUUAUAGUAAAGAAAAUUAAAACAAACUGGCAAGCAAUUUCAGGAAUUGAGAUGAGGCUUUAAAACAGGAUGUUUAUGUGUUUGGACAAUUUAGUUUGUUUUGCAAGAUGUCUCUGAUGGACACCCUCCAUGCCACCUUUGGAAGAAAAAUGAGUAACUAGAUUUCUCACACAGAGACAUUCUGCAGCUUUUAUUAGAUGCAAGCAUACUUCCAGAAAGCUUUGAAUUGCUAAGAGGUAAAUUGAUUAAACUUAUCCAAUAUGUCCCUUUCAGCAGGUUAGAAAAUGAAUCCCCUGGUUUUAGUGUAUCACACAGAAUUAUUUGAGACCUGACCUUUUAAUGAGUUUUAUCAAUAAAGUUGAGUAAUUUCUACUCAGAAUUUAUUUAUUUCUUCACUGUUUUGCUUAAUUUGAUUUGUGAAUCUAUUAUUUUUUUUCCUGUUGCUUUAAACUCAUGGUUUUUACAUUUAGUUUUUCAAAUGCUUCAGUAGUAACUUCUGUUAUCUUUGACAUUUCUGUGUUACCAUAAUAUGAACUGCUGCAGUGGGAAACUUAAUCCUCUAAUCUGUCUAGCUCAGAUGCAUUGUUCCUACAGAGACAUUUUCUAAUUCAGUGUAUUUAUUAACAGCUCUGAGCACUCUGCUCCUGCUGGCAUCUGCAAUAGGAGCAGUUUUAUU
Passer domesticus (house sparrow) is the source of this 2972-nucleotide long non-coding RNA. RefSeq lists it as uncharacterized. The record is from RefSeq and is a predicted model, not a curated record. Lineage: Eukaryota; Metazoa; Chordata; Aves; Passeriformes; Passeridae. The transcript has 4 exons.